RNAcentral lists this long non-coding RNA (937 nucleotides) under Triticum aestivum (bread wheat). RNAcentral describes it as "long non-coding RNA (TAES_LNC008011)". The record is from RNAcentral. Lineage: Eukaryota; Viridiplantae; Streptophyta; Magnoliopsida; Poales; Poaceae.
UAUCUCCCCAUCUCCGCGUCAACCGCGGGAAGGUGAGCACACGACGGCUGCCUCCAGCUUGCUCUCUUGCUCGUGCACCCUGGUGCCUGGGCUGCCUCGCACGCGCGGGGCCUGCGUUCUUUGGUUGUGUUGCAUGAGCUUGGUGGGUCGGUGUGUUUCGUGUCGGUGAGGUGCUCUGUAGCGGCCAAAUGCAAUUGAUGUUAUCCUUUGUACUCUUGUUCUGUCCGUCUCUUUCUCUGUUUGGCGUUGGUCUAUUUGAGGUGUGUGGCUAUGGGUCAGUUUGGAUCGAUGCCUGAACACCGUGCCUGGGCAAAUUGGGUUCCUGGAUCUAGCCUGAGAAGAUGCGAAAUAUUGCCUGGCCAGGCUGGCCUCGUGCAUGUGCGUUUGGUUCGUGUCCAUGGCCCUCCUGCUGUUUGUCAGAGUAUUUGCUGCGCGUCAGAGUCCUUAAAGUGUUUAAAUACUACCAGGCUGCUACUAUAGCACCUCCAGGCAUAAAGAAUGGGACGCCUGGGCCAGGCUAAGUACCCUGCCUGGAAAAGCAACUUCUUUUCUUUCCCAUUUUUUAAUUGAACCAGGAUAAUCACAUGACCAGGACAUGCACGCAUCUUCUUUGUCAGGACACUAAACAAACAAGUACCAGGAAGAGUACAUGCACCAACUAGGCCAGGCGUGUGACGGCAUGGAAGCGAACCAAACUGACCCUAUAUGCCGAGACGCAGCCGGCUCGCCACCGGUGUCCCAUCGCCGGCUCAUCGCCGUCCGUGUCCACUGCCCAGCCACUUAAGCCGCCAAGGUCGUACCGCGUCCUGCCCCACCCACAGACCAGCCCAUCGCUUCUCUUGCGGCCGCUGCCGAUAUUGGGGCCAGCGUUGCCAGGGAAAGCAAGGAGAAAAAGAAUACCAGGAGGAAGAACAGAAGGAAGUCGGCAUCAUUCGCG